AAUUUUCCGCAAUGGGCGAAAGCCUGACGGAGCAAUACCGCGUGAGGGAUGACGGCCUAUGGGUUGUAAACCUCUUUUUUCAGGGAGGAAUCAAUGACGUGUACCUGAAGAAUAAGCAUCGGCUAACUCCGUGCCAGCAGCCGCGGUAAGACGGAGGAUGCAAGUGUUAUCCGGAAUCAUUGGGCGUAAAGCGUCUGUAGGUGGUUUAAUAAGUCAACUGUUAAAUCUUGAGGCUCAACCUCAAAAUCGCAGUCGAAACUAUUAGACUAGAGUAUAGUAGGGGUAAAGGGAAUUUCCAGUGGAGCGGUGAAAUGCGUAGAGAUUGGAAAGAACACCGAUGGCGAAGGCACUUUACUGGGCUAUUACUAACACUGAGAGACGAAAGCUAGGGUAGCAAAUGGGAUUAGAUACCCCAGUAGUCCUAGCCGUA
This 430-nucleotide ribosomal RNA is filed under the name uncultured marine bacterium. RNAcentral's name for it is "bacterial SSU rRNA". It matches the Rfam family "Bacterial small subunit ribosomal RNA", at positions 360 to 804 of the family's 1533-position model. The record is from RNAcentral.